GGCUGCACAGUGGUGCAGUUGGUAGCACUGUUGCCUUGCAGCAAGAAUGAUCUGGGUUCAAUUCCCAUCCGUGGGUCU
This is a non-coding RNA of Characodon lateralis, 78 nucleotides long. The record is from the annotation of a GenBank genome assembly. NCBI's taxonomy places the organism in Eukaryota, Metazoa, Chordata, Actinopteri, Cyprinodontiformes, Goodeidae.